AGAGUUUGAUCCUGGCUCAGGAUGAACGCUAGCGGCAGGCCUAAUACAUGCAAGUCGAACGAUACCAGGGAGCUUGCUCUCUGGGAAAGUGGCGCACGGGUGCGUAACGCGUAUGCAACCUACCUUAAUCAGGGGGAUAGCCUCUCGAAAGAGAGAUUAACACCGCAUAAAAUCAAAGAAUGGCAUCAUUCAAUGAUCAAAUAUUUAUAGGAUUAAGAUGGGCAUGCGUGUCAUUAGCUAGUUGGUGAGGUAACGGCUCACCAAGGCGACGAUGACUAGGGGAUCUGAGAGGAUGACCCCCCACACUGGUACUGAGACACGGACCAGACUCCUACGGGAGGCAGCAGUAAGGAAUAUUGGUCAAUGGAGGCAACUCUGAACCAGCCAUGCCGCGUGCAGGAAGACGGCCCUACGGGUUGUAAACUGCUUUUAUACGGGAAUAAACCUCUUUACGUGUAGAGAGUUGAAUGUACUGUAAGAAUAAGGAUCGGCUAACUCCGUGCCAGCAGCCGCGGCAAUACGGAGGAUCCAAGCGUUAUCCGGAUUUAUUGGGUUUAAAGGGUGCGUAGGCGGCUUAUUAAGUCAGGGGUGAAAGACGGUGGCUCAACCAUCGCAGUGCCUUUGAUACUGAUGAGCUUGAAUACACUUGAGGUAGGCGGAAUGUGACAAGUAGCGGUGAAAUGCAUAGAUAUGUCACAGAACACCAAUUGCGAAGGCAGCUUACUAAGGUGCAAUUGACGCUGAGGCACGAAAGCGUGGGGAUCAAACAGGAUUAGAUACCCUGGUAGUCC
RNAcentral lists this ribosomal RNA (791 nucleotides) under uncultured bacterium. RNAcentral describes it as "bacterial SSU rRNA". It matches the Rfam family "Bacterial small subunit ribosomal RNA", at positions 8 to 796 of the family's 1533-position model. The record is from RNAcentral.